CAGGUGAUGGAAACCAAACUAACAGUGAUUUCAGCCGUGAUGAAAUUGAAGCUGUGAUAAAACACGACGUGAGGUGGUUUUGGAAGAUCCUCCAGAGAAAACACUUUCCACAUCCUACCUGGAGGAUAAAAAGCCUGGUGCAAGAAUUCUGGAACCCUAGUAGGGAAGAUAGCUGGGAGUCUCAGCAUCUUGAGGAAGCGUAUUGAAGUCAGGACUCAGCAAGCUUGUGGCUGGCUUUGACUGAUGAAAUAUGAACAGAAGUAACACGUGCUGCAUCUGAGCAGAAGCUGUAAGAGCCAUCCUCCAGCUCCACCGUGUUUUCUUUCCCUCUGCCACAGACCUGUGAUGCCCCAGACUAGGAAAGGAGUCAUCUUGCUCUCAAUCAGGUUCAGCUUCCAUCUCUUUCCUGGAACCUCUCUUCCCAACGGCUUGGCUUCUUC
Molecule: long non-coding RNA, 440 nt
Organism: Balaenoptera acutorostrata (minke whale)
Lineage: Eukaryota; Metazoa; Chordata; Mammalia; Artiodactyla; Balaenopteridae
Exons: 4
Source: RefSeq, a predicted model, not a curated record